AACGAACGCUGGCGGCAUGCCUAACACAUGCCAGUCGAACGAGACCUUCGGGUCUAGUGGCGCACGGGUGCGUAACGCGUGGGAAGCUGCCCUUAGGUUCGGAAUAACUCCCCGAAAGGGGUGCUAAUACCGGAUAAUGUCUUCGGACCAAAGAUUUAUCGCCUUUGGAUGGGCCCGCGUUGGAUUAGCUAGUUGGUAGGGUAAAAGCCUACCAAGGCGACGAUCCAUAGCUGGUCUGAGAGGAUGAUCAGCCACACUGGGACUGAGACACGGCCCAGACUCCUACGGGAGGCAGCAGUGGGGAAUAUUGGACAAUGGGCGAAAGCCUGAUCCAGCAAUGCCGCGUGAGUGAUGAAGGCCUUAGGGUUGUAAAGCUCUUUUACCCGGGAUGAUAAUGACAGUACCGGGAGAAUAAGCACCGGCUAACUCCGUG
Molecule: ribosomal RNA, 433 nt
Filed under: uncultured bacterium
Lineage: Bacteria
Description: partial 16S ribosomal RNA
Rfam family: Bacterial small subunit ribosomal RNA
Source: RNAcentral